CCUACGGGUGACAGCAGUGAGGAAUAUUGGUCAAUGGACGAGAGUCUGAACCAGCCAAGUAGCGUGAAGGAUGACUGCCCUAUGGGUUGUAAACUUCUUUUAUAAAGGAAUAAAACGAGGCACGUGUGCCUUUUUGCAUGUCCUUUAUGAAUAAGGAUCGGCUAACUCCGUGCCAGCCGCCGCGGUACUACGGAGGAUCCGAGCGUUAUCCGGAUUUAUUGGGUUUAAAGGGAGCGUAGAUGGGUUGUUAAGUCAGUUGUGAAAGUUUGCGGCUCAACCGUAAAAUUGCAAUUGAUACUGGCAGUCUUGAGUACAGUUGAGGUAGGCGGAAUUCGUGGUGUAGCGGUGAAAUGCUUAGAUAUCACGAAGAACCCCGAUUGCGAAGGCAGCUUACUAAACUGUGACUGACAUUGAUGCUCGAAAGUGUGGGUAUCAAACAGGAUUAGAUACCCGGGUAGUC
RNAcentral lists this ribosomal RNA (460 nucleotides) under uncultured bacterium. RNAcentral describes it as "partial 16S ribosomal RNA". It matches the Rfam family "Bacterial small subunit ribosomal RNA", at positions 338 to 795 of the family's 1533-position model. The record is from RNAcentral.